CCUACGGGUGGCAGCAGUGAGGAAUAUUGGUCAAUGGGCGCUAGCCUGAACCAGCCAAGUAGCGUGAAGGAUGACGGCCCUAUGGGUUUUAAACUUCUUUUAUAUGGGAAUAAAGUGCAGUAUGUAUACUGCUUUGCAUGUACCUUAUGAAUAAGGAUCGGCUAUCUCCGUCCCAGCGGCCGCGGUAAUACGGAGGAUGCGAGCGUUACGCGGAUUUAUUGGGUUAAAGGGGUGCGCAGGCGGAUGUUUAAGUCAGCGGUAAAAUCGUGGGGCUAAUCCCCGUCCAGCAGUGGAAACUGGGGAUCUAGAGUGUGCGAGAGGUAUGCGGAAUGCGUGGUGUAGCGGUGAAAUGCAUAGAUAUCACGCAGAACCCCGAUUGCGAAGGCAGCAUACCGGUGCACAACUGACGCUCAGGCACGAAAGCGUGGGUAUCGAACAGGAUUAGAUACCCGAGUAGUC
This 459-nucleotide ribosomal RNA is filed under the name uncultured bacterium. Its description in RNAcentral is "partial 16S ribosomal RNA". It matches the Rfam family "Bacterial small subunit ribosomal RNA", at positions 338 to 795 of the family's 1533-position model. The record is from RNAcentral.